Molecule: ribosomal RNA, 546 nt
Filed under: uncultured bacterium
Lineage: Bacteria
Description: bacterial SSU rRNA
Rfam family: Bacterial small subunit ribosomal RNA
Source: RNAcentral
AUUUGGGCUACCGUAUAAGGCUGCUAAUACCCAUAAGAACUACUAUAUGCUUUGGUGGUAGUCAAACUGCGGAUCGAAAGGUUCCAUUAUCUCCGAGAGGGGUCAAUGUCCUAUCACUUGUUGGUGGGGUAACGGCCUACCAAGGCGAAGACGGGUAGCCGGCACUGAGAGGGUGGUCGGCCACACUGGGACUGAGACACUGCCCAGACUCCUACGGGAGGCUGCAGUCGAGAAUCAUUCGCAAUGCCCGAAAGGUGACGAAUCGACGCCGCUGCGGGAAGAAGGCCUUCGGGUUGUAAACCUAUGUCGGGAGUUAGGAAGUGCAAGGAUGUUAAUAGUAUUCUUGCUUGACUAAGGCUCCGGAGGACCCACGGCUAACUCUGUGCCAGCAGCCGCGGUAAUACAGAGGCGGCAAGCGUUGUUCGGAAUUAUUGGGCGUAAAGAGCACUAGCGGCUGUGUAAGUCGGUUGUGAAAGCCUUCCGCUUAACGGAAGAACGGCAUAUACUGCAUAGCUUCGAGUGCGGGAGGGAAGAGUGGAACUUCUG